Molecule: ribosomal RNA, 250 nt
Filed under: uncultured bacterium
Lineage: Bacteria
Description: partial 16S ribosomal RNA
Rfam family: Bacterial small subunit ribosomal RNA
Source: RNAcentral
GCAGCGAUGUGGAGGCAAACCCCUAAAAAACUAGGUCUCAGUUCAGAUUGCAGGCUGCAACCCGCCUGCAUGAAGUCGGAAUUGCUAGUAAUCGCGGAUCAGCAUGCCGCGGUGAAUACGUUCCCGGGGCCUUGUACACACCGCCCGUCACACCAUGGGAGCCGGUAAUACCCGAAGUCAGUAGUCCAACCUCGUGAGGACGCUGCCGAAGGUAGGAUUGGCGACUGGGGUGAAGUCGUAACAAGGUAUC